RNAcentral lists this ribosomal RNA (593 nucleotides) under Botrytis caroliniana. RNAcentral's name for it is "eukaryotic LSU rRNA". It matches the Rfam family "Eukaryotic large subunit ribosomal RNA", at positions 40 to 647 of the family's 3401-position model. Lineage: Eukaryota; Fungi; Ascomycota; Leotiomycetes; Helotiales; Sclerotiniaceae. The record is from RNAcentral.
AUAUCAAUAAGCGGAGGAAAAGAAACCAACAGGGAUUACCUCAGUAACGGCGAGUGAAGCGGUAAAAGCUCAAAUUUGAAAUCUGGCUCUUUUAGAGUCCGAAUUGUAAUUUGUAGAAGAUGCUUCGGGUGUGGUUCCGGUCUAAGUUCCUUGGAACAGGACGUCAUAGAGGGUGAGAAUCCCGUAUGUGACUGGAUACCUAUGCUCAUGUGAAGCUCUUUCGACGAGUCGAGUUGUUUGGGAAUGCAGCUCAAAAUGGGAGGUAUAUUUCUUCUAAAGCUAAAUAUUGGCCAGAGACCGAUAGCGCACAAGUAGAGUGAUCGAAAGAUGAAAAGCACUUUGGAAAGAGAGUUAAACAGUACGUGAAAUUGUUGAAAGGGAAGCGCUUGCAAUCAGACUUGCACUUGGUGUUCAUCAGGGUCUCGUACCCUGUGUACUUCAUCAAGUUCAGGCCAGCAUCAGUUUGAGUGGUUAGAUAAAGGCUUAGAGAAUGUGGCCCUCUUCGGGGGGUGUUAUAGCUCUAGGUGCAAUGUAGCCUACUUGGACUGAGGACCGCGCUUCGGCUAGGAUGCUGGCGUAAUGGUUGUAAGCGA